ACGCACGCUGGCGGCGUGCCUAAUACCUGCAAGUAGCACGCUGAAGGAGGAGCUUGCUUCUCUGGAUGAGUUGCGAACGGGUGAGUAACGCGUAGGUAACCUGCCUGGUAGCGGGGGAUAACUAUUGGAAACGAUAGCUAAUACCGCAUAAGAGUAGAUGUCGCAUGACAUUUGCUUAAAAGGUGCAAUUGCAUCACUACCAGAUGGACCUGCGUUGUAUUAGCUAGUUGGUGAGGUAACGGCUCACCAAGGCAACGAUACAUAGCCGACCUGAGAGGGUGAUCGGCCACACUGGGACUGGGACACGGCCCAGACUCCUACGGGAGGCAGCAGUAGGGAAUCUUCGGCAAUGGACGGAAGUCUGACCGAGCAACGCCGCGUGAGUGAAGAAGGUUUUCGGAUCGUAAAGCUCUGUUGUAAGAGAAGAACGAGUGUGAGAGUGGAAAGUUCACACUGUGACGGUAUCUUACCAGAAAGGGACGGCUAACUACGUG
RNAcentral lists this ribosomal RNA (494 nucleotides) under uncultured bacterium. RNAcentral's name for it is "partial 16S ribosomal RNA". It matches the Rfam family "Bacterial small subunit ribosomal RNA", at positions 29 to 507 of the family's 1533-position model. The record is from RNAcentral.